This 253-nucleotide ribosomal RNA is filed under the name uncultured bacterium. RNAcentral's name for it is "partial 16S ribosomal RNA". It matches the Rfam family "Bacterial small subunit ribosomal RNA", at positions 524 to 776 of the family's 1533-position model. The record is from RNAcentral.
UACGAAGGGGGCUAGCGUUGCUCGGAAUCACUGGGCGUAAAGGGCGCGUAGGCGGCCAUUCAAGUCGGAGGUGAAAGCCCAGGGCUCAACCCUGGAAUUGCCUUCGAUACUGUUUGGCUAGAGACCGGAAGAGGUAAGUGGAACUGCGAGUGUAGAGGUGAAAUUCGUAGAUAUUCGCAAGAACACCAGUGGCGAAGGCGGCUCACUGGCCCGUAACUGACGCUGAGGCACGAAAGCGUGGGGAGCGAACAGG